Molecule: ribosomal RNA, 253 nt
Filed under: uncultured bacterium
Lineage: Bacteria
Description: partial 16S ribosomal RNA
Rfam family: Bacterial small subunit ribosomal RNA
Source: RNAcentral
UACGAGGGGGGCGAGCGUUGUUCGGAAUUAUUGGGCGUAAAGGGCGCGUAGGCGGUUUGGUAAGUCUUAUGUGAAAUCUAUGGGCUCAACUCAUAGUCUGCAUGAGAAACUGCCGGGCUUGAGUAUGGGAGAGGUGAGUGGAAUUCCUGGUGUGGCGGUGAAAUGCGUAGAUAUCGGAAGGAACACCAGUGGCGAAAGCGGCUUCCUGGUCCGACACCGACGUUCAGGCACGAAAGCGUGGGGAGCAAACAGG